GCCUUUUGAGAGCCAUUACCCCACAGACGCUGAUGUGGCAAAAAGUGUGGGUGCACUCACCUGCCACGUGAAUUUUUCUGUCUAUGUGGCAUUUUUUUGAAAAAUAACUUUUUUUUUAAAAAAGAAUAUUACUUUUUAGAUAAUUUUUUCCGAAUACAAUUUAUAAUAAAACUUGGAUAGAACUACAUUAUNUAGGCUNNNNNNNNNNNNNNUAUAGCUCUAAAUUACGGUACUCUAAUUUUUUUUUAUAGAUUUUACCUAAAAAGUAAAAAUACAUAGUUGAAAUAAAUAGUCAUUGCAUCAAUAGAAGAAAUAAAAAAAAGUGUACAAUUGCAAGAAAUUACAAGUGCAAUUGUAUACUCUUUUUAUUCUUCUUUUGAUGCAAUGACAAUUUAUUUUAACUAUAUAUUUUUUAUAACUUUUUAGAUGUCUUGACUAUUUAUUUCAAUUGUAUAAACCUUUAUUUUCAGGUCAAAUUCAAAAAAAAAGAAAAAGAUUAACAAAAACUUUAUUAGUUUUGGCCAAAUAAAAAUAUUUAACCUAAAUAAUGUAGUU
Molecule: long non-coding RNA, 555 nt
Filed under: Nicotiana tabacum (common tobacco)
Lineage: Eukaryota; Viridiplantae; Streptophyta; Magnoliopsida; Solanales; Solanaceae
Description: long non-coding RNA (NTAB_LNC003958)
Source: RNAcentral